ACUUCUAACCAUCACAAAGUAACUGGUUGUAAGUUGAGGACUACCUGUUGUCAAGAUCAUCUAAACAGGAAAAGAGAUGCCCAUAAAGUAAUUAGGUUUAGCAUCUACUAUUACUAACCUGCAUGCUCACAAAACUGAUCAAUAUUCAACAAAAGCUAUAAUAAUAUUCAGAGGAUAGUGAAUUAAAAUUUUAAUAAAAAUUACGUAGAACUUUAGAACAGCAAAUUUGUUUCUGCUCAAGUAUCAGAACAGAGAGCUUGCAUUUUGGCUAUAGUAAGUAUCAGCAUCUUCUCUACUUUAUUAAUCUGCUGUCUAAAUCUUCUGCAAAACAAUAACCCACUCAAAAUGCUAAUAACAUUUUCAUUCUGCUUGCCUUUUCCCCUUUGCUUGAAUGAUCCUAAAGGUUCUGGACCCAUGACAAAUACUCCCCCAAAAAACAAUUAAAACAGGCAAUCAGGUUGAAAUAUAAUCACAACACAUAGCACCGUCACAUUAACAUAAUAACUUAGCUGCUGCCAUCAGAAAAGCCAGCUCAAACGCAACCCUUUUAUU
Notechis scutatus (mainland tiger snake) is the source of this 552-nucleotide non-coding RNA. The record is from RefSeq and is a predicted model, not a curated record. NCBI's taxonomy places the organism in Eukaryota, Metazoa, Chordata, Lepidosauria, Squamata, Elapidae.